Molecule: transfer RNA, 93 nt
Filed under: Streptomyces sp. Ncost-T10-10d
Lineage: Bacteria; Bacillati; Actinomycetota; Actinomycetes; Kitasatosporales; Streptomycetaceae
Description: tRNA_Opal_TCA
Rfam family: Selenocysteine transfer RNA
Source: RNAcentral
GGAGGCGUCAGGGUUCCUGGUGGGCCUCCCCGCCUUCAAAGCGGGAGGGACGGGGCAUCCCCGUCCGGCGGGUUCGAUUCCCGUCCGCCUCCG